UACGUAGGGACCAAGCGUUGUUCGGAUUCAUUGGGCGUAAAGGGUGCGUAGGUGGCGCCGUAAGUCGGGUGUGAAAUUUCGGAGCUUAACUCCGAAACUGCAUUCGAUACUGCGGUGCUUGAGGACUGGAGAGGAGACUGGAAUUCAUAGUGUAGCAGUGAAAUGCGUAGAGAUCAUGAGGAAGACCAGUGGCGAAGGCGGGUCUCUGGACAGUUCCUGACACUGAGGCACGAAGGCCAGGGGAGCAAACGGG
This 253-nucleotide ribosomal RNA is filed under the name uncultured bacterium. Its description in RNAcentral is "partial 16S ribosomal RNA". It matches the Rfam family "Bacterial small subunit ribosomal RNA", at positions 524 to 776 of the family's 1533-position model. The record is from RNAcentral.